RNAcentral lists this ribosomal RNA (122 nucleotides) under uncultured bacterium. RNAcentral describes it as "partial 16S ribosomal RNA". It matches the Rfam family "Bacterial small subunit ribosomal RNA", at positions 352 to 476 of the family's 1533-position model. The record is from RNAcentral.
CAGUGGGGAAUAUUGGACAAUGGGCGAAAGCCUGAUCCAGCCAUGCCGCGUGUGUGAAGAAGGUCUUCGGAUUGUAAAGCACUUUAAGUUGGGAGGAAGGGCAGUACCUAAUACGUGAUGUU